UUAAAAAGCUCGUANUUGAACCUUGGGCCUGGCUGGCCGGUCCGCCUCACCGCGUGCACUGGUUCGGCCGGGCCUUUCCCUCUGGGGAACCUCAUGCCCUUCACUGGGUGUGAUGGGGAACCAGGACUUUUACUGUGAAAGAAUUAGAGUGUUCAAAGCAGGCCUAUGCUCGAAUACAUUAGCAUGGAAUAAUAGAAUAGGACGUGUGGUUCUAUUUUGUUGGUUUCUAGGACCGCCGUAAUGAUUAAUAGGGACAGUCGGGGG
Molecule: ribosomal RNA, 264 nt
Filed under: uncultured Ascomycota
Lineage: Eukaryota; Fungi; Ascomycota
Description: partial 18S ribosomal RNA
Rfam family: Eukaryotic small subunit ribosomal RNA
Source: RNAcentral